This 253-nucleotide ribosomal RNA is filed under the name uncultured prokaryote. Its description in RNAcentral is "partial 16S ribosomal RNA". It matches the Rfam family "Bacterial small subunit ribosomal RNA", at positions 525 to 777 of the family's 1533-position model. The record is from RNAcentral.
ACGAAGGGGGCAAGCGUUGUUCGGAAUCAUUGGGCGUAAAGCGCGUGUAGGCGGCCUAUUAAGUCGAGUGUGAAAUCCCUGGGCUCAACCGAGGAAGUGCAUUCGAAACUAAUAGGCUAGAAGAUGGUAGAGGAUGGUGGAAUUCCAGGUGUAGAGGUGAAAUUCGUAGAUAUCUGGAGGAAUACCGGUGGCGAAGGCGGCCAUCUGGGCCAUUCUUGACGCUGAGACGCGAAAGCGUGGGUAGCAAACAGGA